CUUUUUUUAGCCUGUUGGU
RNAcentral lists this non-coding RNA (19 nucleotides) under Mus musculus (house mouse). Lineage: Eukaryota; Metazoa; Chordata; Mammalia; Rodentia; Muridae. The record is from RNAcentral.